AUUAUCAUCAGCUUUACUGUAGGUGUUUGACUUGACAACAAUAACAUGCUUUUAUUUAUCAGGAGCCAGAAGUAGAAUAUGUUGCAGAUGCUGACUUUGAAGAAAGUGAUUUGAGUGACUUUGAGGAUAUGGACCGCCUUGACAACACAAGCGAUGAUACUUCAAGUAGCGCAGACGAGGAGGACAAGAAAAGCGUGAAAAAGUUUUUUAAAAAGAAGAGACCUCGAGUUGAAAUUGAAUACGAAGAAGAACGAGACCAGCCAUCAACAUCAAAGCAGAAAAUUGAAAUAUGACAACACUGUCUUCACAUAUUUAUAAUGUGUUUUUGUUAGACUAUUACUGUAUGAAUAUUGUAUUGUAGUCACACAAACUACCUUAAAACCUCGAAUAGAAGCCCUGGGUAAAAUGUUCCACUGAAAUGCAAACCAAUGAAUUACCUGUAUUUAAUUUUAAUAUAUCAUUAGUAGAGAUAUUUCCUUAUAUUUCUCAUGAACACAAUUAAAACAAAUCAAAUAUUUGCAUUUUGCCAGUUUGUUCUUUUUAUUGUUAUGUACAAGUGAGUUAAUCUUAUUUCUGCUGCUUUGUAGCUUUUAAAAAACCAAAUAAUAUUAUAAACCUUAACAUUUUUCCCCUCCCUUGACCCAAUCACAGUGGUUUUGCUCUGAAACCCUGACCAGAUGUCCUCUAUGGCUAUUUAGUUGGAACAUUUGUUGGACUUAUUUGACCCCGUUGGAAUAUUUUUGGAGCCACUGCUGGCCAGGGUUUACACGGCCCACAAAAUUUAGUUCCUACACGCUGGCUUCACUCUAGAGGUAGAUUCUCUUACAGUAGUAACCCAUAAUUAGGCCAGGUUCAUGACAGUGGUAGUGCCAUAGUGGGAAGGAAGGGCAGGCCUCUACCCCCUGUCCACAACAAGGUCAUCUGAUCAAAAUUUUAAAAUAAUGCCUAUCCAAAUAUCGUUAUUUUGAUUGCCAAUCCCUAAUAUUUGGAUUUGGACAGAGGCUUUAGUUAGCUCCUUGCUUUCAACUCCCCCGUCUCUCAAUAAACCUAUCAAUGGAUCUAAAUCAGCAUUCCGCAAACUUUUUACUUCACGGCCUAUUUACGAUUUCAGGCACCAAGCCGCGGCCCAGCAGCCCAGCCAUGCCAGGGACCAACAUAUCAAAUACUGGCUAGAACUUUUGAUCAAGAAGCCUCCAUGUAUAUACAAUAUUUUGACAUCAUUAUCUGUUCUCUCAGUGAUAAAAUUGUAUACAAAAUAAAUAUUAUAUGAAAUAAAUAAUACCAUUCAUUUGUGUUCCCCCCCCCCCACUUGUUAAUUGUUGUUUUUUUCUACCAUGAUUCAACCAAACACGGUUCAGCCACACACAUCAUAGCUUUCUCCUUCCAAAUACUUGUACGCACACUCUGUUACUCCCCAACUUUGAAAGACUACCUUACUAUACAGGUAUUAUGUUUAGUAAUAAAGUAUCCACAUGGGCAUUUGGUUAUCAA
Molecule: long non-coding RNA, 1491 nt
Organism: Anneissia japonica
Lineage: Eukaryota; Metazoa; Echinodermata; Crinoidea; Comatulida; Comatulidae
Exons: 2
Source: RefSeq, a predicted model, not a curated record